RNAcentral lists this ribosomal RNA (253 nucleotides) under uncultured Eubacteriales bacterium. Its description in RNAcentral is "uncultured Clostridiales bacterium partial 16S ribosomal RNA". It matches the Rfam family "Bacterial small subunit ribosomal RNA", at positions 524 to 776 of the family's 1533-position model. Lineage: Bacteria; Bacillati; Bacillota; Clostridia; Eubacteriales. The record is from RNAcentral.
UACGUAGGGGGGCUAGCGUUAUCCGGAAUUACUGGGCGUAAAGGGUGCGUAGGUGGUUUCUUAAGUCAGAGGUGAAAGGCUACGGCUCAACCGUAGUGAGCCUUUGAAACUGGGAAACUUGAGUGCAGGAGAGGAGAGUGGAAUUCCUAGUGUAGCGGUGAAAUGCGUAGAUAUUAGGAGGAACACCAGUUGCGAAGGCGGCUCUCUGGACUGUAACUGACACUGAGGCACGAAAGCGUGGGGAGCAAACAGG